CUCAAAUUGAACUCACUGGCUGCUGCCUCACUGGUACAGUUGGUGACCCUCAAGAGGCUAAGGUUGACGCCUUUGACUUUCCCAUCCCUUCAAGAAACGUUGAUAAAGUCAUUAAACGAAAGAAGAAAAAGUCCAAAAUCUGGCACAAGGUCUGGAAAGUGAUUUCAAAAAUGCUUGAGGAAAAUGAAAGGUUCAGAAGUCGACUGUUGACCUGCAGCCAGUUGGAUGGAGAAGGCUCUGACAGGACCCAGAGGUCACAGAAUGGGGCAUACCUGGACAGGGAUGAGUCCGUCUUUGGCUGGGUGUAGCAAGGAAAUAAAGGAAGAUUCAGCCCCA
Molecule: long non-coding RNA, 336 nt
Filed under: Zonotrichia albicollis (white-throated sparrow)
Lineage: Eukaryota; Metazoa; Chordata; Aves; Passeriformes; Passerellidae
Description: lncRNA (ENSZALG00000011892.1)
Source: RNAcentral